Molecule: ribosomal RNA, 253 nt
Filed under: uncultured bacterium
Lineage: Bacteria
Description: partial 16S ribosomal RNA
Rfam family: Archaeal small subunit ribosomal RNA
Source: RNAcentral
UACCAGCACCCCGGGUGGUCGGGACGAUUAUUGGGCCUAAAGCAUCCGUAGCCGGCCUUACAAGUCCUCCGUUAAAUCCAGCUGCUUAACAGAUGGGCUGCGGAGGAUACUAUAAGACUAGGAGGCAGGAGAGGCAAGCGGUACUCAGUGGGUAGGGGUAAAAUCCGUUGAUCCAUUGAAGACCACCAGUGGCGAAGGCGGCUUGCCAGAAUGCGCUCGACGGUGAGGGAUGAAAGCUGGGGGAGCAAACCGG